UAUACAUAGUUUAUUAAAAUUCUAGUCUGUGACUCUAGAGAUGAAAGCUAAUCUCUUUCUGCAUACC
This 67-nucleotide transfer RNA is filed under the name Ameerega hahneli. Its description in RNAcentral is "tRNA-His". It matches the Rfam family "tRNA". From Rfam's summary of the family: Transfer RNA (tRNA) molecules are approximately 80 nucleotides in length. Their secondary structure includes four short double-helical elements and three loops (D, anti-codon, and T loops). Lineage: Eukaryota; Metazoa; Chordata; Amphibia; Anura; Dendrobatidae. The record is from RNAcentral.